Molecule: ribosomal RNA, 497 nt
Filed under: uncultured bacterium
Lineage: Bacteria
Description: partial 16S ribosomal RNA
Rfam family: Bacterial small subunit ribosomal RNA
Source: RNAcentral
ACUCAAAGGAAUUGACGGGGGCCCGCACAAGCGGUGGAGUAUGUGGUUUAAUUCGAAGCAACGCGCAGAACCUUACCUGGGCUUAACAUCCACUGACAAUCACAGAGAUGUGACUUUCCCUUCGGGGACAGUGAGAUAGGUGCUGCAUGGCUGUCGUCAGCUCGUGUCGUAAGAUGUUGGGUUAAGUCCCGCAACGAGCGCAACCCUUGUCUUUAGUUGCCAGCAUUAAGUUGGGCACUCUGAAGAGACUGCCGGUGUUAAACCGGAGGAAGGCGGGGAUGACGUCAAGUCCUCAUGGCCCUUACGUCCAGGGCUACACACGUACUACAAUGGCAGAGACAAAGCGUCGCGAAGCCGCGAGGUGGAGCUAAUCGCAAAAACACUGUCUCAGUCCGGAUUGAAGUCUGCAACUCGACUUCAUGAAGCUGGAAUCGCUAGUAAUCGCAGAUCAGCACGCUGCGGUGAAUACGUUCCCGGGCCUUGUACACACCGCCCGU